GUGAAAUGCGUAGAGAUCCGGAAGAACACCAAAGGCGAAGGCAGUGUCCUGGUUGGUACCUGACGCUCAGAGGCGACAGCUAGGGGAGCGAACGGGAUUAGAUACCCCGGUAGUCCUAGCCGUAAACGAUGACCACGAGAUGUCCGGGGGAUCGACCCCCUGGGUGUCGAAGCAAACGCAGUCAGUGGUCCGCCUGGGGAGUACGGUCGCAAGAUUAAAACUCAAAGGAAUUGACGGGGACCCGCACAAGCAGCGGAGCGUGUGGUUUAAUUCGAUGCAACGCGAAGCACCUUACCAGGGUUUGACAUGUCUUCGCACCUCUAGGAGACUAGAGUGCCCGCAAGGGACGGAGACACAGGUGCUGCAUGGCUGUCGUCAGCUCGUGCCGUGAGGUGUUGGGUUAAGUCCCGCAACGAGCGCAACCCUCAUUGCUAGUUGAACUUCUCUAGCGAGACUGCCACGAUCAACGUGGAGGAAGGUGGGGAUGACGUCAAGUCAGCACGGCCCUUACAUCCUGGGCGACACACACGCUACAAUGGCCGAGACAAAGAGUUGCGAACCGGCGACGGGGAGCUAAUCUCGUCAAACUCGGUCUCAGUUCAGAUUGCAGGCUGCAACCCGCCUGCAUGAAGUUGGAGUUGCUAGUAACCGUGAGUCAGCACAUCACGGUGAAUACGUUCCCGGGUCUUGUACACACCGCCCGUCACACCACGAAAGUCGGCAACCCCUGAAGCCGCUGGGCUAACUCGCAAGAGAGGCAAGCGUCGAGGGUGGGGUCGGUGAUUGGGGUGAAGUCGUAACAAGGUAACCGU
This 812-nucleotide ribosomal RNA is filed under the name uncultured bacterium. RNAcentral describes it as "bacterial SSU rRNA". It matches the Rfam family "Bacterial small subunit ribosomal RNA", at positions 681 to 1503 of the family's 1533-position model. The record is from RNAcentral.